UACAUAGGGUGCAAGCGUUGUCCGGAAUUAUUGGGCGUAAAGAGCUCGUAGGCGGUUUGUCGCGUCGAAUGUGAAAACCCGGGGCUCAACCCCGGGCCUGCAUUCGAUACGGGCAGACUAGAGUUCGGUAGGGGAGUCUGGAAUUCCUGGUGUAGCGGUGAAAUGCGCAGAUAUCAGGAGGAACACCGGUGGCGAAGGCGGGACUCUGGGCCGAUACUGACGCUGAGGAGCGAAAGCGUGGGGAGCAAACAGG
Molecule: ribosomal RNA, 253 nt
Filed under: uncultured bacterium
Lineage: Bacteria
Description: partial 16S ribosomal RNA
Rfam family: Bacterial small subunit ribosomal RNA
Source: RNAcentral